AUUGAACGCUGGCGGCAGGCCUAACACAUGCAAGUCGAGCGGAUGAAGGGUGCUUGCUCCUGGAUUCCGCGGCGGACGGGUGAGUAAUGCCUAGGAAUCUGCCUGGUAGUGGGGGAUAACGUCCGGAAACGGGCGCUAAUACUGCAUACGUCGUGAGGGAGAAAGUGGGGGGUCUUCGGACCUCACGCUAUCAGAUGAGCGUAGGUGGGAUUGGCUAGUUGGUGGGGUAAGGGCCUACCAAGGCGACGAUUGGUAAGUGGUCUGAGUGGAUGAUCAGUCACCUGGGAGGUGGGACGCGGUCCAGGGUCCUGCGGUAGGCAGCAGUGUGGAACAGGAGGCAGUGGGCGAGAACCUGAUCCAGCCGUGGCACGUGUGUGGAGAAGGUGUUCGGAGCGUAAAGCAGGUUAUCGGGGUGUGAAGCGCAGUAGGUUGUGACCUAGCUGGUGUGACGGUACCAGGAGAAUAAGCACCGGCUAACUACGUG
RNAcentral lists this ribosomal RNA (484 nucleotides) under uncultured bacterium. RNAcentral's name for it is "partial 16S ribosomal RNA". It matches the Rfam family "Bacterial small subunit ribosomal RNA", at positions 28 to 507 of the family's 1533-position model. The record is from RNAcentral.